RNAcentral lists this ribosomal RNA (433 nucleotides) under uncultured bacterium. RNAcentral describes it as "partial 16S ribosomal RNA". It matches the Rfam family "Bacterial small subunit ribosomal RNA", at positions 29 to 507 of the family's 1533-position model. The record is from RNAcentral.
AACGAACGCUGGCGGCAUGCCUAACACAUGCAAGUCGAACGAGACCUUCGGGUCUAGUGGCGCACGGGUGCGUAACGCGAGGGAACCUGCCCUUAGGUUCGGAAUAACUCUCCGAAAGGGGUGCUAAUAGCGGACAAUGUCUUCGGACCAAAGAUUUAUCGCAUUUGGAUGGGCCCGCGUUGGAUUAGCUAGUUGGUAGGGUAAAAGCCUACCAAGGCGACGAUCCAUAGCUGGUCUGAGAGGAUGAUCAGCCACACUGGGACUGAGACACGGCCCAGACUCCUACGGGAGGCAGCAGUGGGGAAUAUUGGACAAUGGGCGAAAGCCUGAUCCAGCAAUGCCGCGUGAGUGAUGAAGGCCUUAGGGUUGUAAAGCUCUUUUACCCGGGAUGAUAAUGACAGUACCGGGAGAAUAAGCUCCGGCUAACUCCGUG